Molecule: small nuclear RNA, 343 nt
Filed under: Microtus ochrogaster (prairie vole)
Lineage: Eukaryota; Metazoa; Chordata; Mammalia; Rodentia; Cricetidae
Description: 7SK RNA (ENSMOCG00000003758.1)
Rfam family: 7SK RNA
About the family: 7SK was discovered as an abundant small nuclear RNA in the mid-70s but a possible function has only recently been suggested. Two independent studies have found that 7SK RNA binds the CDK9/cyclin T complex (known as elongation factor P-TEFb). P-TEFb activates transcription by phosphorylating the C-terminal domain of RNA polymerase II.
Source: RNAcentral
AGAUGUGAAGGCAAUCUGGCUGUGGCAUCAUUAACCACACUCACUGCCUGGCUUAAUCUGACUGAUUUGGCUGGUUAGGGAGAUGUCUCAUCCUUCCCUCACUGUUUCAUGUGCAUUUCCCAUGAUGCUGUGUGCUCAGUAAAAGAAGACCACAUUCCCCCAACAGAGGAGGACCCUCCCAGGAUCAAGGAGGUCCUAUCUUUUUAAGGGUACAUGAGGGGUAGCAAUCCCCUUCUAGAACCUCCAAACAAACUCUCAGUAAAUAGGUUUUUAAGAUACCUGGUAUGUUGUUCUAGACAUUCAGUAAGGAGUAGUAUUUUGCUAACGCAUAUUUUAAUGAUUC